This 158-nucleotide transfer RNA is filed under the name Candidatus Woesearchaeota archaeon. Its description in RNAcentral is "tRNA-Ala". It matches the Rfam family "tRNA". Rfam says of the family: Transfer RNA (tRNA) molecules are approximately 80 nucleotides in length. Lineage: Archaea; Nanobdellati; Candidatus Woesearchaeota. The record is from RNAcentral.
GGGCUGGUAGUUUAGUGGUUAGAAUACUCGGUUGGCAAUCGGGUGAUCCGAGUUCGACUAGCGCUUUAAGAAAGCCGGGGAAAAAUGAGGCGGAUCUAAAUUCUGCUUCAGUUUCCAUUUCGGAGAUAUUAAACGCUACGAAAAUCUCGGCCAGUCCA